UGGUCUUGACAUCCUCGGAACCUGCCCGAAAAGGCGGGGUGCCCGCAAGGGAACCGAGAGACAGGUGCUGCAUGGCUGUCGUCAGCUCGUGUCGUGAGAUGUUGGGUUAAGUCCCGCAACGAGCGCAACCCUCGCCUUUAGUUGCCACGCAAGUGGAUCUCUAGAGGGACUGCCGGUGUUAAACCGGAGGAAGGUGGGGAUGACGUCAAGUCCUCAUGGCCUUUAUGACCAGGGCUACACACGUGCUACAAUGGCCGGUACAAAGCGCUGCCAACUCGCGAGAGGGAGCCAAUCGCAUAAAACCGGUCUCAGUUCAGAUUGGAGUCUGCAACUCGACUCCAUGAAGGCGGAAUCGCUAGUAAUCGCAGAUCAGCACGCUGCGGUGAAUACGUUCCCGGGCC
This 401-nucleotide ribosomal RNA is filed under the name uncultured bacterium. RNAcentral describes it as "bacterial SSU rRNA". It matches the Rfam family "Bacterial small subunit ribosomal RNA", at positions 976 to 1380 of the family's 1533-position model. The record is from RNAcentral.